CACCUUUAUUUUUAAGAGUGUAUAUAAUGACAUCUGUAGAUGGUAAGAAAAAAGUUAAAUUUGGAUGACUCAAUACGUAUGAUGUCACGUUACACGUGACCUAAAGCAAAUACUUCCGCAUAGACAGUGGAAAAAGAAUGGCCUUUGCAAUUGACCAAAACGAAAAGGUUUCAGUUGAGUGUCAGGAUAAUCCAUAUGGAUUUAAUGGUGUGGUGGUGUAUGGAGAUGGCAUGACCUCAAGAUGUAUCCCAGAUAUGACUGGCUACAAUCAAUACCUAACUAGACGUGGAAAUGGCUUUAGUGCUGGAGUCAAUAAUGCAGACAAUCUUAAUGACGCUCGAGCAUCGCAUCAAAUGCUGCCAGUGAAUGUUUCACUGACCGUAUCUGCUAUAUCGGCCCCAAUGAACACUCGCAACCAACUAGGAGGUCGUCACAUGGACCCAUAUUUCACUUAUGGUUAUGCAUUAGCACCCGUUUAUGGAUGUGGCGGGAACAGGUAUCCGCUUUGGGAUAGAGAUGAACAACAUGAGGAGGAAGAGGGGAAUUUGCGUCUUAAGGAGAAAAAGAAGAAAGCAGGAAGAAGAAGGAGGAAAAGAUCCCGCCAUACUGGUCAUUAGAAGGGCAAAACAUCUGACCAGCAUAUAAAUAAAUAAAUAGGCCUAAACCAUUGUAAUUGCAAUGUAUUCAUAAGAAUUUCUCUGUAUUUGUUGUACACCAUGC
RNAcentral lists this long non-coding RNA (720 nucleotides) under Sinocyclocheilus grahami. RNAcentral's name for it is "lncRNA (ENSSGRG00000005289.1)". Lineage: Eukaryota; Metazoa; Chordata; Actinopteri; Cypriniformes; Cyprinidae. The record is from RNAcentral.